CUUGAAGAGGGCUCGCGCGCUCUUUCGCUUGUACGUUCGGAGCGUGGAAAUAUGAGCCUAAAACCUGUGAUGGUGUUGCUGUUGCACACAAUGAACUCAGUGACCUGAUAACUACUAUUAAGAUGAAGAUGAAAUUCAGAGAGCAGCUGGGACGCAUUUGGCAUUGGAUCUUGAGUUUCUAAUUCCUAACAUGCAUCAACAGUGAUAUGGGAGAAGUCUUAAGACCAAUGACAGCCAUUAUGUCUGCUGAAAAAAAGUGUUGAAGUCGAAGGGAAACGUAAUCUGAAGUUGGCUUGGCAGAAGUUAGCAUCAUGCAUGAACUCUGAAGAUUUGAAGAAAAUCAGCGCAUUAAAAAUGUACAACUCUUUAUUAACACCAGAAUGUGUUGUAAUUGUGGCCCUAUGCAAUAAGUUAUAAAAAUAAAGAUUUAAUGUACCA
Thamnophis sirtalis is the source of this 438-nucleotide long non-coding RNA. RefSeq lists it as uncharacterized. Lineage: Eukaryota; Metazoa; Chordata; Lepidosauria; Squamata; Natricidae. The record is from RefSeq and is a predicted model, not a curated record.